ACGCUGGCGGCAUGCCUUACACAUGCAAGUCGAACGGCAGCACGGGGGCAACCCUGGUGGCGAGUGGCGAACGGGUGAGUAAUACAUCGGAACGUGUCCUGUAGUGGGGGAUAGCCCGGCGAAAGCCGGAUUAAUACCGCAUACGAUCUACGGAAGAAAGCGGGGGAUCGCAAGACCUCGCGCUAUAGGGGCGGCCGAUGGCAGAUUAGCUAGUUGGUGGGGUAAAGGCCUACCAAGGCGACGAUCUGUAGCUGGUCUGAGAGGACGACCAGCCACACUGGGACUGAGACACGGCCCAGACUCCUACGGGAGGCAGCAGUGGGGAAUUUUGGACAAUGGGGGAAACCCUGAUCCAGCAAUGCCGCGUGUGUGAAGAAGGCCUUCGGGUUGUAAAGCACUUUUGUCCGGAAAGAAAACUUCUGCCCUAAUACGGUGGGAGGAUGACGGUAC
RNAcentral lists this ribosomal RNA (450 nucleotides) under Burkholderia sp. NAR4(1). RNAcentral's name for it is "bacterial SSU rRNA". It matches the Rfam family "Bacterial small subunit ribosomal RNA", at positions 33 to 478 of the family's 1533-position model. Lineage: Bacteria; Pseudomonadati; Pseudomonadota; Betaproteobacteria; Burkholderiales; Burkholderiaceae. The record is from RNAcentral.